Molecule: ribosomal RNA, 449 nt
Filed under: uncultured organism
Description: partial 16S ribosomal RNA
Rfam family: Bacterial small subunit ribosomal RNA
Source: RNAcentral
CACUCCUGCGGGAGGCAGCAGUGGGGAAUAUUGGACAAUGGGCGCAAGCCUGAUCCAGCCAUGCCGCGUGAGUGAUGAAGGCCCUAGGGUUGUAAAGCUCUUUCACCGGUGAAGAUAAUGACGGUAACCGGAGAAGAAGCCCCGGCUAACUUCGUGCCAGCAGCCGCGGUAAUACGAAGGGGGCUAGCGUUGUUCGGAUUUACUGGGCGUAAAGCGCACAUAGGCGGACUAUUAAGUCAGGGGUGAAAUCCCGGGGCUCAACCCCGGAACUGCCUUUGAUACUGGUAGUCUUGAGUUCGAGAGAGGUGAGUGGAAUUCCGAGUGUAGAGGUGAAAUUCGUAGAUAUUCGGAGGAACACCAGUGGCGAAGGCGGCUCACUGGCUCGAUACUGACGCUGAGGUGCGAAAGCGUGGGGAGCAAACAGGAUUAGAAACCCCAGUAGUCCCAUG